UACGGAGGGAGCUAGCGUUGUUCGGAAUUACUGGGCGUAAAGCGCGCGUAGGCGGCUUUGUAAGUCAGGGGUGAAAUCCUGGAGCUCAACUCCAGAACUGCCUUUGAUACUGAGAGGCUUGAGUCCGGGAGAGGUGAGUGGAACUGCGAGUGUAGAGGUGAAAUUCGUAGAUAUUCGCAAGAACACCAGUGGCGAAGGCGGCUCACUGGCCCGGUACUGACGCUGAGGUGCGAAAGCGUGGGGAGCAAACAGG
This 253-nucleotide ribosomal RNA is filed under the name uncultured bacterium. Its description in RNAcentral is "partial 16S ribosomal RNA". It matches the Rfam family "Bacterial small subunit ribosomal RNA", at positions 524 to 776 of the family's 1533-position model. The record is from RNAcentral.